AGGGAGGGAGGCUGCGGACCAGUGCGGGGAGGAGUUUACGAGGGGAGGCGCUUGCAGGGGCUCCCCCAGUUCUGUUGAGAGCCGGGCACAAAGAGCCCUCUGCACUCUAGCCGCAGGAGCCAGGAGCUGAGG
Molecule: unclassified non-coding RNA, 132 nt
Organism: Cricetulus griseus (Chinese hamster)
Lineage: Eukaryota; Metazoa; Chordata; Mammalia; Rodentia; Cricetidae
Product: predicted gene, 27357
Source: Ensembl